Molecule: ribosomal RNA, 253 nt
Filed under: uncultured bacterium
Lineage: Bacteria
Description: partial 16S ribosomal RNA
Rfam family: Bacterial small subunit ribosomal RNA
Source: RNAcentral
UACGAAGGGGGCUAGCGUUGCUCGGAAUUACUGGGCGUAAAGCGCACGUAGGCGGUUCGUUAAGUCGGGGGUGAAAUCCUGGAGCUCAACUCCAGAACUGCCUUCGAUACUGGCGAUCUUGAGUCCGGAAGAGGUGAGUGGAACUCCUGGUGUAGCGGUGAAAUGCGCAGAUAUCAGGAAGAACACCCGUGGCGAAGGCGGCUCUCUGGGACGGUACUGACGCUGAGACGCGAAAGCGUGGGGAGCGAACAGG